Molecule: ribosomal RNA, 1122 nt
Filed under: Mycolicibacterium sp.
Lineage: Bacteria; Bacillati; Actinomycetota; Actinomycetes; Mycobacteriales; Mycobacteriaceae
Description: bacterial SSU rRNA
Rfam family: Bacterial small subunit ribosomal RNA
Source: RNAcentral
GGAUCUACCAUGCAGUCGAACGGAAGGCCCCUUCGGGGGUGCUCGAGUGGCGAACGGGUGAGUAACACGUGGGUGAUCUGCCCUGCACUUUGGGAUAAGCCUGGGAAACUGGGUCUAAUACCGAAUAGGACUCCGGACUGCAUGGUCUGGGGUGGAAAGCUUUUGCGGUGUGGGAUGGGCCCGCGGCCUAUCAACUUGUUGGUGGGGUGAUGGCCUACCAAGGCGACGACGGGUAGCCGGCCUGAGAGGGUGUCCGGCCACACUGGGACUGAGAUACGGCCCAGACUCCUACGGGAGGCAGCAGUGGGGAAUAUUGCACAAUGGGCGCAAGCCUGAUGCAGCGACGCCGCGUGAGGGAUGACGGCCUUCGGGUUGUAAACCUCUUUCGCCAGGGACGAAACGCAAGUGACGGUACCUGGAGAAGAAGCACCGGCCAACUACGUGCCAGCAGCCGCGGUAAUACGUAGGGUGCGAGCGUUGUCCGGAAUUACUGGGCGUAAAGAGCUCGUAGGUGGUUUGUCGCGUUGUUCGUGAAAACUCACAGCUUAACUGUGGGCGUGCGGGCGAUACGGGCAGACUGGAGUACUGCAGGGGAGACUGGAAUUCCUGGUGUACCGGUGGAAUGCGCAGAUAUCAGGAGGAACACCGGUGGCGAAGGCGGGUCUCUGGGCAGUAACUGACGCUGAGGAGCGAAAGCGUGGGGAGCGAACAGGAUUAGAUACCCUGGUAGUCCACGCCGUAAACGGUGGGUACUAGGUGUGGGUUUCCUUCCUUGUGAUCCGUGCCGUAGCUAACGCAUUAAGUACCCCGCCUGGGGAGUACGGCCGCAAGGCUAAAACUCAAAGGAAUUGACGGGGGCCCGCACAAGCGGCGGAGCAUGUGGAUUAAUUCUAUGCAACGCGAAGAACCUUACCUGGGUUUGACAUGCACAGGACGACUGCAGAGAUGUGGUUUCCCUUGUGGCCUGUGUGCAUGUGGUGCAUGGCUGUCGUCAGCUCGUGUCGUGAGAUGUUGGGUUAAGUCCCGCAACGAGCGCAACCCUUGUCUCAUGUUGCCAGCACGUUAUGGCUGGGGACUCGUGAGAGACUGUCUGGGGUCAACUUCGGUAGGAAGGUGGGGGAU